CCGACGGUGAGAGGUGAAAGCUGGGGGAGCAAACCGGAUUAGAUACCCGGGUAGUCCCAGCCGUAAACGAUGUGCGUUAGGUGUAUCGGUGACCACGAGUCACCGAGGUGCCGAAGAGAAAUCGUGAAACGUACCGCCUGGGAAGUACGGUCGCAAGGCUGAAACUUAAAGGAAUUGGCGGGGGAGCACCACAACAGGUGGAGCCUGCGGUUUAAUCGGACUCAACGCCGGAAAACUCACCAGAUAA
Molecule: ribosomal RNA, 247 nt
Filed under: uncultured archaeon
Lineage: Archaea
Description: partial 16S ribosomal RNA
Rfam family: Archaeal small subunit ribosomal RNA
Source: RNAcentral